RNAcentral lists this non-coding RNA (107 nucleotides) under Chlorobaculum tepidum. RNAcentral's name for it is "Chlorobium tepidum SAM-I sequence". It matches the Rfam family "SAM riboswitch aptamer (S box leader)". Rfam says of the family: The SAM riboswitch is found upstream of a number of genes which code for proteins involved in methionine or cysteine biosynthesis in Gram-positive bacteria. The SAM riboswitch acts at the level of transcription termination control. The record is from RNAcentral. Lineage: Bacteria; Pseudomonadati; Chlorobiota; Chlorobiia; Chlorobiales; Chlorobiaceae. RNAcentral also lists the same sequence under 1 other name.
CUAUCAUCCAGAAAGGCGGAGGGACUGGCCCUGCGAAGCCUUGGCAACCUUCAUUCCACAUGAGCGGUGCCAAAUCCAUCCCGGAGGAAAUCCGGGAAAGAUGAUGU